UUCUUUUAUUGGUAGAUGGAUUCAACGAGUGAAGCUUCUAGCACAAAUAAAAGGAGGUCGACGAGAUCCGAUGCGUGGGAUCACUUUAAAGAGAUAGAUGAUGGCCAAGAUGUAAGCAAUAUCCUUAUGGGAACGUGGAGAAAAGGCAAAAAGAUGCAUCGGGUCAACUUGUUGGGUUAGGUAGUUCAUCUGGUCCAUGGAAAUUCGACCAAGACAUAAGUCAAAAAGACCUAGCCGCCAUGUUCAUUGUUGCUGAAUUGCCUCUCAAGUUUGUAGAAAAUGAGGCAUUUC
Molecule: long non-coding RNA, 291 nt
Organism: Rhodamnia argentea
Lineage: Eukaryota; Viridiplantae; Streptophyta; Magnoliopsida; Myrtales; Myrtaceae
Exons: 2
Source: RefSeq, a predicted model, not a curated record